CCCCAUCCUCAAAAAGAUUCGUCCUCGAAUCUGAAAAAUCAAAUGAACUCGACUUUCCUCUAUCGAACGGGACUAAUGGCAAUUGAGUCCACUGAAAAGAAUAGCCAUGAGAUAGUAAAUAGCAACGGAAACAAGCUUGUAGUCCAAUCAUAAGCAUAACAGAACAGGUAUAACGCAUGUGAAUGGACAGAUUCAGAUUACCAUGCAAACAAUCUAAUUUACUCACCACUGCCUCGUCAAAUAUUUGAAACAAAGAUGGACAUGUUUUAAGGCAUUCAGUCGUCUCACAUUGUUCCCACAAACCAUGAAUAAAU
This 314-nucleotide long non-coding RNA is filed under the name Gossypium barbadense (sea-island cotton). RNAcentral's name for it is "long non-coding RNA (GBAR_LNC018301)". The record is from RNAcentral. Lineage: Eukaryota; Viridiplantae; Streptophyta; Magnoliopsida; Malvales; Malvaceae.